GACGAACGCUGGCGGCGUGCUUAACACAUGCAAGUCGAACGGAAAGGCCCUGCUUUUGUGGGGUGCUCGAGUGGCGAACGGGUGAGUAACACGUGAGUAACCUGCCCUUGACUUUGGGAUAACUUCAGGAAACUGGGGCUAAUACCGGAUAGGAGCUCCUGCUGCAUGGUGGGGGUUGGAAAGUUUCGGCGGUUGGGGAUGGACUCGCGGCUUAUCAGCUUGUUGGUGGGGUAGUGGCUUACCAAGGCUUUGACGGGUAGCCGGCCUGAGAGGGUGACCGGCGACAUUGGGACUGAGAGAGGGGCCAGAGGGCUAGGGGAGGCAGAAGUGGGGAAUAUGGAACAAUGGGUGGAAGCGUGAUGAAGCAACGCCGCGUGCGGGAUGAUGGUCUACGGGUGGGAAAAAGCUUUCGCCGGUGAAGAAGCGGGAGGGACGGUAAUGGGUAAAGAAGCACCGGCUAACUACGUG
This 468-nucleotide ribosomal RNA is filed under the name uncultured bacterium. RNAcentral describes it as "partial 16S ribosomal RNA". It matches the Rfam family "Bacterial small subunit ribosomal RNA", at positions 28 to 507 of the family's 1533-position model. The record is from RNAcentral.